UACGGGGUGCUACCGCGUUUGCGGAUGCUGAGAACAGACCCAUGGAACCUGAAACGGGUAAUGCCGACGAAGGGAUUGACAAU
This 83-nucleotide non-coding RNA is filed under the name Segatella maculosa. The record is from RNAcentral. Lineage: Bacteria; Pseudomonadati; Bacteroidota; Bacteroidia; Bacteroidales; Prevotellaceae.